GGCGGCUUAGCUCAGGUGGUAGAGCAGGGGACUCAUAAGCCCCGUGUCGUAGGUUCGAGUCCUACAGCCGCUACC
This 75-nucleotide transfer RNA is filed under the name Thermosporothrix hazakensis. Its description in RNAcentral is "tRNA-Met". It matches the Rfam family "tRNA". From Rfam's summary of the family: Transfer RNA (tRNA) molecules are approximately 80 nucleotides in length. Their secondary structure includes four short double-helical elements and three loops (D, anti-codon, and T loops). RNAcentral also lists the same sequence under 1 other name. The record is from RNAcentral. Lineage: Bacteria; Bacillati; Chloroflexota; Ktedonobacteria; Ktedonobacterales; Thermosporotrichaceae.